UCAGAAACUGCUACUCAAGUGUACCCUCCUGGUUCUAGGGUUCCAUUGUGGUGACAACAAAUUACAAGCAGCUUACUUCCUCAGAGCCCAUCACUACCAACACCAACUGACAGCUUCGAGAAGGACCUCAGUACCACUUUCCCUAACCAAAAUUUUCCUCUUUACUCCAAGCCCUGACAAGGAUAAAUCUCUAAACUUUAGAAACAAUGUAAUUUUACAAAUUAACUUAUACGCAGGGUUACUUCCUUUCCAAUUUGAUCAGGGAAUGCAGGGCAAGAAUAACCCAAAAUAUGCAAUGUAAAUCAUGUUGAAAUUAAAAUGUAUUUCCAUCUCCACCCCUCCACGAUGGCAUAAUUUCAAAUCAACUUAUAUAAUGCAUAUCUAGUCCUCUGAAAAAUCAUUUUUAAAAGUAGGGCUGUUAUUAUUCUGUCCUAGCUAUCGCAGAUCAAUUUAGAUUUGUUCUGUAAGAUUUCAGAUUUUCCCCAAAUGACACAGGUGGUUAUUUUAUAUGUAUCAGUCAUUAAAAGAUUAAUCCUUUUUAACUAAAAAGAGACAGUACGGUCAUUUACAAGUUAAAGUAGAUUUAUUCUGAGCUGGUGCUCUGGGGUCUUACUUCUCUAAAAUUUUGUGAUUUACAAUACACCACAUGUAGGAAACAGCUUCCAAAAUUUGUAUUGCUUCCUACAAAUCAGACAGGACUUUCAGGAGAAGGAGCCUAGGAUAGAUUCUCUGUUAAAUUUUGGAAUCCCUUCUCUCAAGAGUAACCUACUAUAAACUAUUUACCAAGCCUUUGUGAAAUCUGUAUAACAGGUUACUACUCCAUUGAGCAAGAAAACACAGGAAACAGGAUUCGAAGAUUUAAUGUUACUGCUCAUACUCCAAAUUAUAGAAUGCUUAAGAUAAUUAAAUUAUCUGACUUUUAUAAUUCACUACACGGUGACCUCAAAUUUACCUCAUUAGAAUAUUUAGUACUUCUGCACUUCUCCCACUUCUCAAAGUUUUCCCAUACCAGGAUUCCCCACCACCUAGGAACAGCCUUUGCAAGAUACCAAUGCUCUCUAAAUCCCCAAAGCAGGGUCUAUUUCCUGAUCGAACAAAGAGCAACAAAGAAGUGGGUGGUAACCACCUCUCUGAGGCAAGCCAGGACCCAUGGAGUCUGAUCUACAACACAAGCAGUAGCAGUUCCACAUCUCCCUACCACCUCUUAUUUCCUACGAAGUCUUUCUGCCUGAAACUGGAAAACCCGAACUAUUAUUGAGGAAGUGAAGCCCUUCCAUUUGAAUCCUGAGAAAGACGCGCUCAAAGAACCCAGCGAACAAAGGAGAGGGUUGGAGCCCACGCAAAACAUGGGUGUGAUAAAGCCACACGCGACCUGAGCCCCCACCCUCAGUAACUACUCUCCAGCGCCCACCGGGAGGAGGGGUCCGGGGAAAGGAUUGGCAUCCUCUGCUUCUGCAGAAAACAUGGCUACCAACAGCUUCUGUAUCCACCUGCGGAGGAGACUGACUGCUCUGUUAUUCCCCCAGCAUCUGUGAAGAGGCUCUGACUGGCUAAAGUGUUGGAAGGAGUCUGUAGCUUUAGGGGAAGACAGAGCCACAAGAUGGAAGGAGCUUGGAUGUCUGAACUAUUCCAUGGAGAAAAGCUGCAGCCAACGAAGAACACCUGCAAUGGACUCUUAACCUGGGGGUGACGACAACCACUGAAAUAUGCUGCAUCUUAGUCCAGGGAUUUUUAAAGUGUGGUUCCUGGAAGAGCUGGAUCAGAGUCAUCUGUGUUGAUGGUUUAACAUAAAGAUUUUCGAGCCCCAAGACUCAAGUAGGACAAGGAAUUUGAAUUUUUAAGCAGCUCACCUGACUUGUCUGUCCUCUAAUGUCUGAAGACAUCUGACCUCUGCUCUUUCAGUAAAAGCAACAAUGGUUUUAUGAGCAUUGUCGUCACAUCUCUCCACUCAAGGGAUCCUUCUCAUUUCUCCCAGCUGAGGUCACCCACAGCUGCUGCUUCUAACUGCUGGCUUCCAGCCUGCUGUCUGCCAGCUGGCUCUACCCUCUCCUAUAACACGGCAGAGAGUAGCUGUGGUCUCCUGCGUGCUCACCCUCUGCUCCCUUGGUCCUGCUCCAUGCUUUGGUCCUGCACUUAAAUUUUACAAGCAUACUCUCUUUCUCUUAAGGUACUGACUGCAGAAGAAAGGAAGAGGAAGGAAAGGAAACUUCUGUCAUUUAUGAAGAAUUAAUGUAAUAGAAAGGAAACACUUCAAACAACAGUGAGAGAUGAUGGCA
This 2276-nucleotide long non-coding RNA is filed under the name Homo sapiens (human). RNAcentral's name for it is "HSALNT0112006". The record is from RNAcentral. Lineage: Eukaryota; Metazoa; Chordata; Mammalia; Primates; Hominidae.